UCGCGCUCGACAAGACGACGACAUUGUCCAAAAACGUAAAUGUCCUCGUUUGUUGUCACGGCGCUAAAUUAAUUCCAAAUCGAGAAAGUUAUUUAUUUCGAUUGAGCCAACAGGGCCGCAAGGAUUUAAGUCCAUCUUUAUGCGGUAGUAAGCAGCUCGCACAAA
This 165-nucleotide small nucleolar RNA is filed under the name Drosophila virilis. The record is from RNAcentral. Lineage: Eukaryota; Metazoa; Arthropoda; Insecta; Diptera; Drosophilidae.